Molecule: ribosomal RNA, 301 nt
Filed under: uncultured bacterium
Lineage: Bacteria
Description: partial 16S ribosomal RNA
Rfam family: Bacterial small subunit ribosomal RNA
Source: RNAcentral
CAGCCGCCGCGGUAAUACGGAGGGGGCUAGCGUUGUUCGGAAUUACUGGGCGUAAAGCGUGCGUAGGCGGUGAGUUAAGUCUGCUGUGAAAUCCCCGGGCUCAACCUGGGAAUGGCAGUGGAUACUGGCAAGCUAGAGUGUGUCAGAGGAUGGUGGAAUUCCCGGUGUAGCGGUGAAAUGCGUAGAGAUCGGGAGGAACAUCAGUGGCGAAGGCGGCCAUCUGGGACAACACUGACGCUGAGGCACGAAAGCGUGGGGAGCAAACAGGAUUAGAUACCCGGGUAGUCCCUGUCUCUUAUAC